GCCCAGGUGGUGGAAUUGGUAGACACGCUAGCUUGAGGGGCUAGUGCUCGUUUAGAGCGUGCAGGUUCAAAUCCUGUCCUGGGCACCA
This 88-nucleotide transfer RNA is filed under the name Bacteroidota bacterium. RNAcentral's name for it is "Bacteroidetes bacterium tRNA-Leu". It matches the Rfam family "tRNA". Rfam says of the family: Transfer RNA (tRNA) molecules are approximately 80 nucleotides in length. The record is from RNAcentral. Lineage: Bacteria; Pseudomonadati; Bacteroidota.